ACCCUUGGGUGAGGAAUACCGGCGAGAAAUCGCCGACAAUACCGCAUAGCCUUCUCGCGAGAGAAGGAAAGUCCUUCGGGACGCCUGAGGAUGGGCCUGCGCCUGAUUAGCUAGUUGGUGAGGUAAGAGCUCACCAAGGCGACGAUCAGUAGCUGGUCUGAGAGGAUGGUCAGCCACACUGGGAUUGAGAACGGCCCAGACUCCUACGGGGGGCAGCAGUGAGGAAUUUUCGUCAAUGGGGGCAACCCUGAACGAGCAACGCCGCGUGCAGGAAGACGCUUUUCGGAGUGUAAACUGCUUUUCUGAGGGACGAGAACGGACGGUACCUCAGGAAGAAGCCCCGGCUAACUACGUGCCAGCAGCCGCGGUAAUACGUAGGGGGCGAGCGUUGUCCGGAGUUACUGGGCGUAAAGGGCACGCAGGCGGUCAUGUAAGUCUGUUCUGACAGCUCCUGGCUCAACCGGGAGAGGCGAACGGAAACUGUAUGACUUGAGGACUUCAGAGGGACACGGAAUUCCGGGUGGAGUGGUGAAAUGCGUAGAGAUCCGGAGGAACACCAAAGGCGAAGGCAGUGUCCUGGGAAGUACCUGACGCUCAGGUGCGAAAGCCAGGGGAGCGAACGGGAUUAGAUACCCCGGUAGUCCUGGCCGUAAACGAUGACCACUAGAUGUGGGGGGUAUCGACCCCCUCCGUGUCGAAGUAAACACAAUAAGUGGUCCGCCUGGGGAGUACGGUCGCAAGAUUAAAACUCAAAGGAAUUGACGGGGACCCGCACAAGCAGCGG
Molecule: ribosomal RNA, 784 nt
Filed under: uncultured bacterium
Lineage: Bacteria
Description: bacterial SSU rRNA
Rfam family: Bacterial small subunit ribosomal RNA
Source: RNAcentral